This 193-nucleotide ribosomal RNA is filed under the name uncultured bacterium. RNAcentral's name for it is "partial 16S ribosomal RNA". It matches the Rfam family "Bacterial small subunit ribosomal RNA", at positions 1300 to 1500 of the family's 1533-position model. The record is from RNAcentral.
GGAGUCUGCAACCCGACUCCAUGAAGCUGGAUUCGCUAGUAAUCGCGCAUCAGCCACGGCGCGGUGAAUACGUUCCCGGGCCUUGUACACACCGCCCGUCAAGCCAUGAAAGCCGGGGGUACCUGAAGUGCGUAACCGCGAGGAGCGCCCUAGGGUAAAACUGGUGAUUGGGGCUAAGUCGUAACAAGGUACC